GUCGCCGACGGCGCGCAGGUCGGCGAGGGCGCCGCUGAGGCCGGUGCAGCGGCCGACGCGGUCGAUGGCGUUGUUGAGCUUGUCGCGGCUGCUC
RNAcentral lists this transfer RNA (94 nucleotides) under Paractinoplanes deccanensis. RNAcentral's name for it is "Actinoplanes deccanensis tRNA-Leu". Lineage: Bacteria; Bacillati; Actinomycetota; Actinomycetes; Micromonosporales; Micromonosporaceae. The record is from RNAcentral.